GACGAACGCUGGCGGCGUGCCUAAUACAUGCAAGUUGAGCGCUGAAGGUUGGUACUUGUACCAACUGGAUGAGCAGCGAACGGGUGAGUAACGCGUGGGGAAUCUGCCUUUGAGCGGGGGACAACAUUUGGAAACGAAUGCUAAUACCGCAUAAAAACUUUAAACACAAGUUUUAAGUUUGAAAGAUGCAAUUGCAUCACUCAAAGAUGAUCCCGCGUUGUAUUAGCUAGUUGGUGAGGUAAAGGCUCACCAAGGCGAUGAUACAUAGCCGACCUGAGAGGGUGAUCGGCCACAUUGGGACUGAGACACGGCCCAAACUCCUACGGGAGGCAGCAGUAGGGAAUCUUCGGCAAUGGACGAAAGUCUGACCGAGCAACGCCGCGGGAGUGAAGAAGGUUUUCGGAUCGUAAAACUCUGUUGGCAGAGAAGAACGUUGGUGAGAGUGGAAAGCUCAUCAAGUGACGGUAACUACCCAGAAAGGGACGGCUAACUACGUG
Molecule: ribosomal RNA, 497 nt
Filed under: uncultured bacterium
Lineage: Bacteria
Description: partial 16S ribosomal RNA
Rfam family: Bacterial small subunit ribosomal RNA
Source: RNAcentral